GUCGGUAUAGCAAAGUGGUUACUGCGUUUGAUUUGAACAUUAUCAAAUUCCCUCCGGGAGCGUAGGUUCGAACCCUACUGCCGACG
This 86-nucleotide transfer RNA is filed under the name Rhizoctonia solani. RNAcentral's name for it is "tRNA-Ser". It matches the Rfam family "tRNA". Rfam says of the family: Transfer RNA (tRNA) molecules are approximately 80 nucleotides in length. Their secondary structure includes four short double-helical elements and three loops (D, anti-codon, and T loops). Lineage: Eukaryota; Fungi; Basidiomycota; Agaricomycetes; Cantharellales; Ceratobasidiaceae. The record is from RNAcentral.